This is a long non-coding RNA of Orbicella faveolata, 387 nucleotides long. NCBI's taxonomy places the organism in Eukaryota, Metazoa, Cnidaria, Anthozoa, Scleractinia, Merulinidae. The record is from RefSeq and is a predicted model, not a curated record.
UGCAUUGUUUGUAAUCAUACUGUUUAUAGGACACAAGUUCAAGUUCACCAAGUUCAUCAAGUCAUUCUUCAGCUCCUGCAACAGUUAGUGCACAUCAAGAAGAUGAAGAUUUAGCCAGAGCAAUUCAGUUGUCCCUUCAGGAAGCAGAAAGUAGUAAGCCCAAGGUCUCUAGUUUGCAUCCAAGCUUCAGUUCAUCUUCACCAGCUCCUGCAAGAAGGGUUGAGGCCAAAAAAGUCCGAGCAUUGUACGAUUUUGAGGCAGUUGAAGACAAUGAACUUACAUUUAAGUGUGGAGAGAUAAUAUCUGUUCUUGACGACAGGUUGGUUCCUAACCUAAUCUUGUUUUGCUGAACAUUUCUUUUAUCAAACACCUGCGGUUUGUUUGGGG